ACGCUGGCGGCGUGCCUAAUACAUGCAAGUCGAACGGCUUUUCUAUGGAAGCUUGCUUCCACUGAGAAGAUAGUGGCGAACGGGUGAGUAACACGUGGGUAACCUGCCCAUAAGAGGGGGAUAACAUCCGGAAACGGGUGCUAAUACCACAUAGUUUUCUUGAUCGCAUGAUCGGGAAAGGAAAGACGGCCUUUGUGCUGUCGCUUAUGGAUGGACCCGCGGCGUAUUAGUUAGUUGGUGAGGUAACGGCUCACCAAGACGAUGAUACGUAGCCGACCUGAGAGGGUGAUCGGCCACAUUGGGACUGAGACACGGCCCAAACUCCUACGGGAGGCAGCAGUAGGGAAUCUUCCGCAAUGGACGAAAGUCUGACGGAGCAACGCCGCGUGAGUGAAAGAAGGUUUUCGGAUCGUAAAACUCUGUUGUCAGAGAAGAACAAGUUGGAGAGUAACUGCUCCAGCCUUGACGGUAUCUGACCAGAAAGCCACGGCUAACUACGUGCCAGCCGCCGC
This 512-nucleotide ribosomal RNA is filed under the name uncultured bacterium. RNAcentral describes it as "bacterial SSU rRNA". It matches the Rfam family "Bacterial small subunit ribosomal RNA", at positions 33 to 518 of the family's 1533-position model. The record is from RNAcentral.